GCGAGUGUGGCGGAACUGGUAGACGCGCUAGACUUAGGAUCUAGUGCCACAAGCGUGGGGGUUCAAGUCCCUCCACUCGCA
Molecule: transfer RNA, 81 nt
Filed under: Calditerrivibrio nitroreducens
Lineage: Bacteria; Pseudomonadati; Deferribacterota; Deferribacteres; Deferribacterales; Calditerrivibrionaceae
Also listed under: 3 other names
Description: tRNA-Leu
Rfam family: tRNA
About the family: Transfer RNA (tRNA) molecules are approximately 80 nucleotides in length. Their secondary structure includes four short double-helical elements and three loops (D, anti-codon, and T loops). Further hydrogen bonds mediate the characteristic L-shaped molecular structure. tRNAs have two regions of fundamental functional importance: the anti-codon, which is responsible for specific mRNA codon recognition, and the 3' end, to which the tRNAs corresponding amino acid is attached (by aminoacyl-tRNA synthetases). tRNAs cope with the degeneracy of the genetic code in two manners: having more than one tRNA (with a specific anti-codon) for a particular amino acid; and 'wobble' base-pairing, i.e. permitting non-standard base-pairing at the 3rd anti-codon position.
Source: RNAcentral